CGCUGGUGAAUUUUUUGGCUGGUUCGUUUCUUUUGCAUGUGGCUAUGCUCUGGUCACCGAAGCGACGAGUCGUUUACUAUUGAGCCUUCUAUAUAACAGACGAGCAGUCGAGAAGCACAGACGCUUCGUAUCGAUUCAUAUUACCAUCACCUCUCCAUCAUAUUUUUAACUAAUCCUCCUAUCUUAAUCGACAUCUAACAUGGUUGUUUGUAUAUGCAGAUCCCUUCGAGCUCCGGUGCGCACAACCUCAUCCACCAAAGAUAGAGUUUGAUGUCGUCCACCACAAUACGCAUGGAUGGCGCCGCUGCCCGCCUGCUACGCGUCGCUGACACCCACAACGCCUCCCAGGUCCCCGGCGUCGGCUUUGCCUGACCAUGGAGAAGCGCCUGGACAGCGCCAGCGCUCCUCGGUGCCACGCAUCGGUUUCUUCCGGACAUCCACUUCCAACGGCCAGCAUCGGCUUCGGCCGGCAGCGGAUGCCCUCCACCCCCACCCCGCGCCCGUCACAUCUCCUCCUAGGAUCUUGCUGCUAAUCCUCGUCUAGCCCCUCCUUCCUUUGCUUCGGCAUGGAGCCCGACGAGCCGUUCAGCGUGUCUUGCAGUGGUAGAGUAAGAAUAGGUGUUCUUUAUUCUCAGGUUGUGCUUGACUCACAAAGUACUUGAAUUAGUUUCACCCACAUAGAUAACUUGACCUUGCAUAUAUACUAUAGGUACAAAAUCCGCCAGAGUGAUUCACGACUGGUCUAACUGCUCCCCACGGCAAGAUAUUAAGUCCCAGAACUAAGGUUACUUUUGUCUAGAUUAUGGGGUAAAAAAAACUUUUGUAUGGAUUAGUUCUCUUCCAAUGAUUCUCAUGUUUAAUGUUGUGAGUUACUUCCACAUAUGUGCACACCCGAGAGUGUUGACAAGUAUAGGUCUGAACAGUUGAAGGAAGAUGAUAUAAAAAUAGUUGAAGGAAGGUCAACAUAUUUUU
This is a long non-coding RNA of Triticum urartu, 972 nucleotides long. RefSeq lists it as uncharacterized. The record is from RefSeq and is a predicted model, not a curated record. NCBI's taxonomy places the organism in Eukaryota, Viridiplantae, Streptophyta, Magnoliopsida, Poales, Poaceae.